Cryptomeria japonica (Japanese cedar) is the source of this 3618-nucleotide long non-coding RNA. RefSeq lists it as uncharacterized. The transcript is spliced from 9 exons. NCBI's taxonomy places the organism in Eukaryota, Viridiplantae, Streptophyta, Pinopsida, Cupressales, Cupressaceae. The record is from RefSeq and is a predicted model, not a curated record.
CUACUAAUAUAUAGGUUACAAGACAAUAUAUUAAGAUAAUGUAUAAUACUUUUUAAAAAUCUAUUUUGUAUAUUCCAUUAUUAACGAUGAAGGUUUGCGACAGCAUCCAUGGAUUCUGUCAUGGUUAUUACCAUUCGCACAAACUACAUUUGUCUAAAACAUUUUUGUUCAACUUGGACAAAUGAAGAAACUACUGUCGUCCCCUGAGCAUUGUCGUGAGCUGUUGCCUGAGCGUUGUCGUGAGCCAUGAGCCAUGAGAUGUGAGCCGUUGUCGUAAGCCGAGGACAAACGAAGACAAGUGUUGCCGAAGACGAAUCCGAAAUGCGUUUUCUGUCUGCUGCCGUCGCCGAAGAGAAAUCGUAAAUACGUCUUUUGUUUUUGUUUUAGGGUUUAAAUAACCCAUUUUCAUUUCGUGAAAGUCAACCUAGACGAAUCCAAGAUGAAUCGUAUCCGAAUCCGAAUCCAAGACGAAUCGUAUCCGGAUUUGGGGGAAAACCUAGACGUACCGGUAACUUAGGUCUUCACUAUAUUGUUAAUGAUGAAAAUGACACUAAAGUUGCUAUUAUCCUUCCUUAAGAUGGCUUUAGUGUAACAAGUUAAAGCCACCACAAAGUGGGAUAGGUUGUAACCACCACUAAUUGAAGAGUAGAGCUCCAUGCCAAAUUAUAGCCCAGAUGAUCAUCUUAGUUGUGGUUGAAUUAUGGUCAUCAUAGCUAUUAGUGGAUGAUACCACCUUUUUAGUAGGGUGAGAUCAACCACGGCUGAAUUUUCUUGAUUACUUGCACUUGGGCCCAAUAGAGUUAUUGUAGCCAUUUUAGUCUACGUAUGUGAGUCUAAAUUAUAGUCUGAAAGUUGAGACCGAUAUGUUGAUUUUCAAAGAAGGGAAACAUUGCUAAGUGUCAAAUUUUUCUAGAAGUGGAUGAUACAGAAUUAUCAGAAAUGGGUAGAAACUUGCUAGUUCAAUCUACUUGGGUAAUAUUAAUAGUAGUCAUGUGCCUCACAAAUGCCCUUAGUUUCUAGUUGUGAAAUUUUAGUAUUAGUCACGGGCUUCACCAAUACCCCCUAUGAAAUUAGACACUCAUUUUUGGGGUAGUGAAGUGGAACAAUAAACCAGAUUCUUUGGUUUGGCCUUCAAGCAAGUUAUACGAGAUAUUUUUGAUGAUAUUUAAACCUAUAUAUUAUGAAUUAAAAGUAGUUCUGGUUGUGGUAAUGUUGAUUGAAUGGUAUGCUAAAUUUGUGUUUAUGUUUGUCAAUAUGUGUGACUGCUUGAAUGAACUUUAAAUUCUCUAUUUUUCCUAAAAUGACCAUAGAUAAAAGGGAUGAAAUUGCAUAGAAUCCUUUGGCUUCAUCAUGAUUGUAAUCUAUUCAUGCCAAAAUAAUUUAUUCAAGGUAUUUAUGACUUCAACCUUAGAAAGUAAAUUAACAAAUAUUUUUGUCAGUAAAAAUUUAGAAACUAAAUUAACAAAUAAUUUUGUCUAUCAUCAUAAGAAAUAUUUUAACAGAGUUCUAUUUUUUUUUCCUUGAUCGAAUCAUCACAAGAAAUUGGACAAGUGCAAGCGUGAGUCUAAAGAAACUAUUCUUUGCCACCAUCUACGAUUUUCAAUUCGGUUAAAUGUUGAGAUCACUCUGGUUGGAAGUUUGGAAUCGUGGUAAAAUAGGACGCAUACUGUUGCAUCUUCUUUGUGUGCGGAAUCCUCAUCUCCUCGAACCUGGGAAGAUAUAUGUAUCUGGGAGCAUCCACAACCAUCUGUUUGCGAACAACAGACCAUAUCCCAUCUGCCCCAAUCAAAAGUUUGCAGGGAACCACCUUGAUUCUAUGAUCUUCUGUACCCUCUUUGGGGCACUUAACAGAGUUCUAUUUUUUCCUUGAUCGAAUCAUCACAAGAAAUUGGACAAGUGCAAGCGUGAGUGUAAAGAAACUAUCCUUUGCCACCAUCUAUGAUUUUCAAUUCGGGGAGAUGGAGGUAACAGAGAAGCUGUAGCACAAAUAUUGCAAAGUGUGGAGAAGGCACGUCGGAUGGUUGGAGGAUUAGCUCUUGUAGCCUUCUUGCUAGACUAGAUUGAAGAGAUCUCUGAAAACCGGAGUGAAUACAUUGAACUCUUAAGACAAAUGUUUAAGCUUGCUGGGUAUAUUAGAAGGAUGAGGUAUGAUAUGCCACAAGAAGAAAAUAUAUUGAAUGAGGCAAUUAUAUUGAUUGUUGAAGGAUCCAUGAUAUGUGCUUUGCAAAUAAAGUCUAGAACACUUUUCUGGUUUUUGAAGGGUUUUGUGAACCACGAAGGCUUGGGCACUGUAAAAUUGAAAAUAAAUCAGCUUCAUCAGGAUCUUACAUUGUGAGCGCUAAUAGAAAUACAACAGAUCAGCAGCCUGUUGCUUUCUCUCCAUGGAAGCCUACUUAUACAGAUCAUGCAGGUACGACAACAAUUCAGAGAAAUCUUUCUAGAAAUGGGAUUUGAAGAGAUGCCAACAAAUAACUUUGUUGAGAGUAGCAAUUGGCAUCCAAAAGCAGAAGAAACAAUUAAUGAAUUUUCCAGACAUGGAAACAAAGAACAAGUCUCCAUUGGCUGUAGUUAUUUAUGGAUUUGGUGGCAUAGGAAAGACCACGCUCGCCACCGCUGUUAUUGCUGACUUAGAUCUCACAAUUACAACUAUUCAGGAGUUCAAAUGCAAGAAGACAACUCCAGGAACAUCAUAAAAUGCAUGCAACAACAAAUAUUGAAAGAUGCCUUCCCAGCAUAUAAUGACAGAAAUUUAACAUUGAGAAAUAGUGCUCACAAAAUGCAUGCAGCAGCAAAUAUUGUUGGAGCUGAGGAGGUCACACAUCUGGAAGAGACGGCUUUGUUCAAGACGUCCGACAAAGGCAACGUUAUUGUUCUUGAUAUCUUCCAAGCAAAAGGGCCGAGUAUGUCUGAAUUGAAUAGAAUAACUAAUAUGCAAUCCUGGCUCGAUGUUUUAUGGGACAAUAAGAGGCUCGAUCAAAUUUAAAAGAAACUGGCUUACCAGGGAGGAGACUGAACCUGUGUACGAACUUGAUGAGAAGCCUGGCCUUGGGGAACAAGAUAAAUGUAUCAGGGUCAAGCCAAAAGACACCCAAAUUUAAAUAACUGAGAUUUCUCAAACUAGGUGGCGACAUGUCUGGUUUAUGGCCAGUAAAUUUGGAGUGCCUUGAGCUGUUGGCUGUGUACUAUGGCCCUGUCUUUAAGGAUGUUCAUGUCUUAUUGAUCUAUUAAAAAAAUUCAUUGCCUUGCCCAAGUGAAAUGGGGCCAUGUAAGGUGUAUGUACUAUAUACUGAGCCAAAGCCUCCUCCAAGAUUGUAAGCUGCUAAAAAUGGAUUGUAAGAUGCUAAAAAUGGUUCUAUCUAGUCAUGUGAAGUUCAAUUCUAUUGUGCUCAUCUAUACUUGUCAAAAAUGUGGAUGCCCAUGUCCAUUGUUCAUGGAGUUAGUAGUAUUGAAGGAUUUGGCUUGUGGCCAUAAGGAAACUAUGCGUUUCCGUGAAGACAGCGCUACCUUCUCUUGUAAAGAUUAACCUUGUGGUAACCUUUCAUUGUGAAAGUUGCCAUUUCCUAUUUACUGUAUUCAAUAUUCUUUGGAGAAACACCACAUCAUUAUGUAAUAUACAAA